Passer domesticus (house sparrow) is the source of this 500-nucleotide long non-coding RNA. RefSeq lists it as uncharacterized. Lineage: Eukaryota; Metazoa; Chordata; Aves; Passeriformes; Passeridae. The record is from RefSeq and is a predicted model, not a curated record. The transcript is spliced from 3 exons.
AAACCCUUCCUCCUGCAGUAGGGAACAGCCUUACUGCACUGCUACACACUGAUCUGCCAUUCUGUGCUAUUACAGCCAGUAUGAUUCACCUCAGGGAUUUCUCUAAAUGAAGCAUGGGAGUGUAAGGGAGACAUGCAGCUCUCUACCUGUGAUAAGGAACCAAAUGAAGUCAACAAUGACAAGAACUCAAAUCCUGCUCUAAGCUGGGCUCUUCACAGAUGCCUAUCAACUGCUGAAUAAAUUUGCUGCUGAGGCCCCAAGGAUGCCUCUCACUGAAGCAGAAUAUUAUCAAACAGGAAUGAGUGCUUUGCUUUCUCAAAAUCCCAAACAACUCAAAGAAGAAAACCUGAAGCUUAUUUACAAGCAUCACUUGUGCACUCUCAGCCAUGAGUAACAGAUUUCCAUUAACACUCUGAAAGAGUAUUUGAUUUUUACAGACAAGCUACAGGCUAUGCUUAACUUUGGAUACAGCCAAUGACCAAGCUUCAGUGAUUAAUUUU